UGGGGAAUUUUCCGCAAUGGCGCAAGCCUGACGGAGCAACGCCGCGUGAGGGAUGAAGGCCUCUGGGCUGUAAACCUCUUUUCUCAAGGAAGAAGAUCUGACGAUUCUUGAGGAAUAAGACACGGCCAAUACCGUG
RNAcentral lists this ribosomal RNA (136 nucleotides) under uncultured cyanobacterium. RNAcentral describes it as "partial 16S ribosomal RNA". It matches the Rfam family "Bacterial small subunit ribosomal RNA", at positions 355 to 507 of the family's 1533-position model. The record is from RNAcentral. Lineage: Bacteria; Bacillati; Cyanobacteriota.